GCCGGUCCUCGGUAGUGGUCCCCGGGUUCUGCGAGCGGCACCGCCGCCACGCCCCGUGGACUUCGAUCGAAGACCGGC
Actinophytocola sp. is the source of this 78-nucleotide regulatory RNA element. It matches the Rfam family "Actino-pnp RNA". NCBI's taxonomy places the organism in Bacteria, Bacillati, Actinomycetota, Actinomycetes, Pseudonocardiales, Pseudonocardiaceae. The record is from Rfam.